RNAcentral lists this long non-coding RNA (344 nucleotides) under Gossypium barbadense (sea-island cotton). RNAcentral's name for it is "long non-coding RNA (GBAR_LNC011265)". The record is from RNAcentral. Lineage: Eukaryota; Viridiplantae; Streptophyta; Magnoliopsida; Malvales; Malvaceae.
CGAGUUUAGUAUCAACACCAUGAUCCACAACCUGGAAGACACCCCAAUCCUCACAAGCCUCAACAAUCUUCUUGCAUAUCUCACCCCUCUUGCCAUCAACAUCAUCGAUACCAGCAAGAGAGAUGACAGGGAUAUCAUUACUGAAUUGGUUGUAAGCAACCUUAGGACGCUCAUCUUCAUCACGAACGAAGCUUGCCUGCAAGGUUUUCUCUUCCGCAAGAGCCGUCAGAGUUGAAGGAGCCAUUGAUGUUGCUUAUGACUCUGAACUGAAACCUUUCCCUCACUUAAAAAUGGGUUUGCGUUAAACGAUCGAACGUUAUAAGUUUAGUUGAGAACUGUCGAAU